This 144-nucleotide unclassified non-coding RNA is filed under the name uncultured Ascomycota. RNAcentral's name for it is "sequence contains ITS1". The record is from RNAcentral. Lineage: Eukaryota; Fungi; Ascomycota.
CUGUCGGGGGCCUCCGGGCCUCCGGUUCAAGAUAUCACCCUUGCAUUUGAGUACCUUCUGUUUCCUCGGCGGGUCCGCCCGCCCGAGGACCACACCAAAACCUUCAGUAGUUGCAGUAAACGUCUUGAAAACAAAAUUAAAUUA